Molecule: transfer RNA, 75 nt
Filed under: Lentzea flava
Lineage: Bacteria; Bacillati; Actinomycetota; Actinomycetes; Pseudonocardiales; Pseudonocardiaceae
Description: tRNA-Leu
Rfam family: tRNA
About the family: Transfer RNA (tRNA) molecules are approximately 80 nucleotides in length. Their secondary structure includes four short double-helical elements and three loops (D, anti-codon, and T loops). Further hydrogen bonds mediate the characteristic L-shaped molecular structure. tRNAs have two regions of fundamental functional importance: the anti-codon, which is responsible for specific mRNA codon recognition, and the 3' end, to which the tRNAs corresponding amino acid is attached (by aminoacyl-tRNA synthetases). tRNAs cope with the degeneracy of the genetic code in two manners: having more than one tRNA (with a specific anti-codon) for a particular amino acid; and 'wobble' base-pairing, i.e. permitting non-standard base-pairing at the 3rd anti-codon position.
Source: RNAcentral
GCCCCUGUAGCCCAAUGGCAGAGGCAGGCUCCUUAAAAGAGUCACAGUGGCGGUUCGAAUCCAGCUCGGGGGCAC